UUGUCUUCUGGUUUCUUCCCUGGCUACAACUACCUUUGUCCAUGUUAAAAAUAAUAACUAGACUGCAUCUAUGGACUGCUUGAUUUUUAUGUUUCAGAAUGUUGCUAGAAACAAAGUAUCGUCGACUUCCAGUUGUAGAUGGCGAGGGAAAGCUGGUUGGGAUUAUUACAAGAGGAAAUGUUGUUAGAGCUGCCCUUCAAAUGAAACGUGCUAGCGAAAUCAAAGCAUGAGAACCAGGAAAACACUCUCACAGGACGAUCAUACUUCCAAUUUUAUCAAUCCCGGUAUUGAAAUUGUGUAUAACAUGUAAAAUUUUGGAUUAUGCAUGUAUAAAACAUCAAAUAUAGAUUCCUCCUCACUAAGAUCAUAUAUAUAUAGAUAGAGAGAGUUAUUGUUGGGACCAAAAUUGAGGACACUUGGAAUACUGAACUCAUAAUCUCAGGUCAUGUUUGAUUCACAAGAUUAAUAGUGAAGUAUUAAUAAUCCUA
Non-coding RNA from Camellia sinensis, 488 nucleotides. Lineage: Eukaryota; Viridiplantae; Streptophyta; Magnoliopsida; Ericales; Theaceae. The record is from RefSeq and is a predicted model, not a curated record.